RNAcentral lists this ribosomal RNA (253 nucleotides) under uncultured bacterium. Its description in RNAcentral is "partial 16S ribosomal RNA". It matches the Rfam family "Bacterial small subunit ribosomal RNA", at positions 524 to 776 of the family's 1533-position model. The record is from RNAcentral.
UACGAAGGGGGCUAGCGUUACUCGGAUUGACUGGGCGUAAAGGGCGCGUAGGCGGCUUGUACAGUCAGACGUGAAAUUCCUGGGCUCAACCUGGGGGCUGCGUUUGAUACGUGCGGGCUUGAGUUCGGAAGAGGGUCGUGGAAUUCCCAGUGUAGAGGUGAAAUUCGUAGAUAUUGGGAAGAACACCGGUGGCGAAGGCGGCGACCUGGUCCGAUACUGACGCUGAGGCGCGAAAGCUAGGGGAGCGAACAGG